RNAcentral lists this ribosomal RNA (1502 nucleotides) under metagenome. Its description in RNAcentral is "bacterial SSU rRNA". It matches the Rfam family "Bacterial small subunit ribosomal RNA". The record is from RNAcentral.
AGGGUUUGAUCCUGGCUCAGAACGAACGCUGGCGGCAUGGCUAAAACAUGCAAGUCGCGCGCGAAAGUCUCCUUCGGGAGGCGAUUAGAGCGGCGGAAGGGCGAGUAAUGCAUGGGCAACGUACCUCCUGCACGGGGAUAGCUCACUGAAAAGCGAGAUAAUACCCGAUGCUGCCAUUGGCACUCAAGUGCCUGUGGUGAAAGAUGGGGACCCUUCGGGGCCUGUCGGCGGGAGAGCGGCCCAUGUCCUAUCAGCUUGUUGGUGAGGUAACGGCUCACCAAGGCUACGACGGGUACCGGGACUGAGAGGUUGGCCCGGCGCAUUGGGACUGAGACACUGCCCAGACUCCUACGGGAGGCUGCAGCAACGAAUAUUCCGCAAUGGGCGAAAGCCUGACGGAGCAAUGCCGCGUGUGGGAUGAAGCUUUUCGGAGUGUAAACCACUGUCAGGGACCACCAAGCAAUGGAGGCCAAUACCCCCCCGCGUUGAGGAAUCCCAGAGGAAGCCACGGCUAACUUCGUGCCAGCAGCCGCGGUAAUACGAAGGUGGCAAGCGUUGUUCGGAAUCACUGGGCUUAAAGAGCACGUAGGCGGAUCUGUAAGCGUCUUGUGAAAGCCCCCGACUCAAUCGGGGAACUGCUGGGCGAACUGCAGGUCUUGAGGCAAGUAGAGGUGCGUAGAACUCUUGGUGGAGCGGUGAAAUGCGUAGAUAUCAAGAGGAAUGCCGGAGGCGAAAGCGGCGCACUGGGCUUGUCCUGACGCUGAGGUGCGAAAGCCAGGGGAGCGAACGGGAUUAGAUACCCCGGUAGUCCUGGCUGUAAACGAUGCCUACUAGGUCGGAGAGCUUUUGACGGUCUUCCGGUCGGAACUAAAGCGUUAAGUAGGCCGCCUGGGGAGUACGGUCGCAAGGCUAAAACUCAAAGGAAUUGACGGGGGCUCACACAAGCGGUGGAGCAUGUUGCUUAAUUCGAUUCAACGCGAAGAACCUUAUCCUGGGCUUGACAUGCUUGGAUGCCCAUCUGGAAACAGAGUAGGCUGCCCUUCGGGGUGAAACUUGCACAGGUGCUGCAUGGCUGUCGUCAGCUCGUGUCGUGAGAUGUUGGGUUAAGUCCCGUAACGAGCGAAACCCUUGUCGUUAGUUGCCAGCGGGUCAUGCCGGGGACUCUAGCGAGACUGCCGGUGUUAAACCGGAGGAAGGUGGGGAUGACGUCAAGUCCUCAUGGCCUUUAUGCCCAGGGCUGCAAACGUGCUACAAUGGCCGGUACAAACCGACGCGAGACCGCGAGGUGGGGCAAAUCGGAAAAAGCCGGCCCCAGUUCGGAUUGGAGUCUGCAACUCGACUCCAUGAAGUCGGAAUCGCUAGUAAUCGCAGAUCAGCUACGCUGCGGUGAAUGUGUUCCUGAGCCUUGUACACACCGCCCGUCAAGUGAUGGAAGCUGGAAGCACCCGAAGUCGGUUCGUUACAGGACUGCCGAAGGUGAGUUCGGUGACUGGCACUAAGUC